UUAUAAUCGGUUUGUUUGCACGGGUUCCUGCUGCUUUGUAACCAAUAAAUGUGCUUGUGAAAAGAAUUUAGUGUUUGAUUUUUCCAAGAGCAGUGAAAAUGUUUAAAAUAUUGGUUCAAAGCUUGGCGAAAAACUCGUGUGAAAGCCGAGCACCGUCACAUAUUGCCGCAGUGACGUGUGUAAAGAAUUCAUUGAUUUUACCUGCGGCCAAUAAUCGUUCAAUUGCCACGAGUACUAUAGCACGUCGCCAUUUUCUUUUUCUAACCAACAGAAGACCAGUGAGCUUUGCUUUUCAUCAUCAAGAUCAACCAGCAGGCAGCGGAAAGGACGCAGUAGAGGAGUUUAAGAAGAUUAAGAACACAUUCUUAACAAAUUCAAGUGGAAUAAUCAACUCCGGUAGCUUCUACAGGUAUUUUCACAAUACAAGCGGAAAUUUAGUGGAAGCAGAAGCGUCGCCUGCAGAAAAGCAAAAGUCUUCGUUAAAAACCAGUAAAAAGCAUUCGUUUACAAAUUCAUCUUUGUACAUAGAUCCAGACGAAAUGGCACCUCAUGAUAGGAAUUUUGGCGCUCGUACAGCACGUGGUGGAGAUGAUCGUCAUGCCAGACAUGGAGGCGGUGGCAUGCGCAAUGGUGGCGCUGGCGGUAGUGGAAGUGAUUUCCAUGGUGUGCGAAACGGUCGUGUUGACAAGAGCCGUGGAGGUCCUGGUGGCGGACGUGGAGGUAGCGGAGGCUUUGGUGGCGGCAGUGGUUUCGGAGGUGGAUAUGGCGGCGGAAAUCGUGGUGGCACCCAAGAUCUUACUCUCGGAACUGUUGAUUUCUCAAAUCUCGCACCAUUCAAAAAGAAUUUCUAUGAGGAACACCCAGUUGUGGCGAACCGAUCUCCUUAUGAAGUGCAACGUUAUAGGGAUGAACAUGAAAUUACUAUCCGUGGAAAUGCCCCCAAUCCCAUUCAAGACUUCGGUGAAGCAUAUUUCCCUGAUUAUGUAAUGAAGGAGGUACGUCGCCAAGGUUAUAAGGCGCCAACAGCUAUUCAGGCACAAGGUUGGCCAAUUGCCAUGAGUGGUUCCAACUUUGUCGGUAUUGCACAGACCGGGUCGGGCAAAACUCUUGGAUACAUUUUACCAGCGAUCGUACACAUUAACAACCAGAAACCAUUAGAGCGCGGAGAUGGACCUAUCGCUUUGGUCUUGGCACCGACACGAGAAUUGGCUCAACAGAUCCAACAAGUUGCCACUGAAUUUGGCUCUUCAUCGUACGUGCGAAACACAUGUGUGUUUGGUGGAGCACCGAAAGGAGGUCAAAUGCGCGACUUGCAGCGUGGCUGUGAAAUCGUCAUUGCCACCCCAGGUCGUUUAAUUGAUUUUCUUGCAAUGAAUGCCACCAAUCUGAAGCGUUGUACAUAUCUGGUAUUGGAUGAGGCUGAUCGUAUGUUGGAUAUGGGUUUUGAGCCUCAAAUUCGCAAGAUUCUCUCACAGAUUCGUCCCGAUCGUCAGACACUUAUGUGGUCUGCAACUUGGCCCAAAGAAGUUAAGCAAUUGGCUGAAGAUUUCCUUGGCAACUACAUUCAAAUCAAUAUUGGUUCUUUGGAAUUGUCGGCAAAUCAUAAUAUCCGCCAAGUAGUUGACGUUUGUGAAGAACAUGACAAAGAAGACAAGUUAAAGGCUUUGCUUUCUGAAAUUUAUGAUACCAGCGAAAACCCAGGCAAGAUCAUCAUCUUCGUGGAGACCAAACGUCGUGUAGACAACUUAGUUCGCUUCAUUCGCAGCUUCGGUGUGCGCUGUGGCGCCAUUCACGGAGACAAGUCACAGUCGGAACGUGAUUACGUCUUACGUGAAUUCCGUUCUGGAAAAUCGAACAUUCUCGUAGCAACUGAUGUCGCUGCGCGUGGUUUGGAGGCCGAUUAUUGUAGUAUGGUGGGGAUAAAAUGAUCAACUUUUGAAAUGACGCAAUUCACUAGGAUUGCGUUAAUAAGUGAACUCUUGAAUUUUUUCGCAAAAGUAUCCGCCGAAAAGCUCUUUGAACGGAGCGUUUCUAUUAAAGCCGAAUGAAAGGUGCGGCGGUGGCGGCAGUACUCUACACAUUCCAAUGCAAAAGAGGGAUGUCGUCGGAACACCUGCUGCCACACGUUUGCACGCAACGUCAUUGCACAUUUGAGGAGAGAUAUAAUACGCAACAGCAGAUGGAUACGCUUAUCUAGCACGUACCACGUACCUGUGCGAAAAAGCGUUUCAGUGCAACUUAGCGUAUACACAAAUACUCCAGACUACAAGAAAAAAAGCAAAUGGCGGAAAUAUUCGUUCACAAUACGCGAAAUGUAUGUCGCGUCGUCGUGUAAUUUUUUGUUCAUUUUGUGUUUUGUAUAAAAAUUGCCUCACAAGAAAAUAUGAAUCCUGAUUUUUCUCCCAGUUUGGCAAUGUGCAUAAAGAGUUCUGCGGUACACAAUAUCCCUAUCAUCAUGCAGCAAAUGUGGCCUCUGCUAUCUUUUAUUUAAAGAGAUACUAGUAUUAUCCAAAGUUAAACAGUAUCCAUUGCGAAAAUAGCAAAAAUAUUUAGGAAUUUUCACAGUCUCGAGUAAACGCCAAUCGAAAGGGCAGAUUAUGUAAAUUCAAUUAGUUUACUUAGUAUUUUAUGUGAAAUUUCUUGUCUGGAAAGCCUUAAGAAACCGCGUUAAAUCACACGCAGGCAAAUAAGAGAAACUCCAUACAACUAAAUGCAUGUCCAUCCUACAAUCGUUAUAAAUAUCGCAUGUGUUCUUUGGCUGAAUCGUAUCGACAUCGUAAACAAAAAAAUGUCGGUUUGCAAGGAACAGGGUCAUUGCGCGUAAUUAAAGAAAUGAAAAACAAAAAAAAAAACUUUAAGGACUAAAUUAUUUAAUAAUAUUUGAAGUGAUCGUAUAUCAUUUUUGCUGACAAACUUUGAUCCUGUUCAACGGUUAAUCGCGUUAAAAAGGUUGGUUGUUGUAAAGUGGUACGGCAUCGAACAUGUUUUGCCUUACUCAUUCGAUGGAAGGAAAACGUUGUGUGAAACGAGCUGGUGGCGACCUUCUUUUGGACAAUAAACAAAUGUUGAGAAGCUGUUGCUGUUGUUCUAACUGUACCGUGGACAUCACAGAACACCAGUUCAUCAUUUGCUGCACGUCCAGAAAAAAGCGUCGUCGUCGUCUGCGGAUUCUUGUACAACACAUACACGUUCCAUGAAAUGCGGAAAGUUCGUGAAGGCAAAACGUAUCUAAGAAAGUGCCACAAACGCAUCGCAAUACCGCCGACAAAGGACACAUUUGCAACGUGGAUUUGUUUGUAUAAAAAUUGGAGGAUAUGCAUAUUAAUAUAAUGGUGAAGUGUAACCGACGGGCAUUUAUGGCCGUCAUAGAUACAUGAUGAAAACGACUCUUUGUUGUCAACAUGCCUGCGGUAGUGGUUUUACCUCCUGAACAUUGGCUGAUGGAUGCACGACGUCGGCGAACGGCGCACAAACUCUACCACCAAAUAGUUGGAUGUGCGCUGUACUCCACGCGAGACGCAUUUUACUCGAAACUCGUGCGGAAUCGAGCUGCAUCGUUCGUCCAUCUUGUGUCCAUUUAAUGUUGAUUGAGAGAGAGACAGAUUAGAGGGAAAAUACCCUAACUAUAUUUAGAGUUUUACCACAUGCUCUUCCACUCGUUUCGCUGAUCGUGACGAGAGAAGAGUGUGAAUAUAAAUCGACUAUUUGAAGAUGUGGACGGCAUCAAAUAUGUCAUUAACUUCGACUACCCACAAUCGUCAGAGGAUUACAUUCACAGAAUUGGACGUACUGGACGUUCCAACACAAAAGGCACUUCAUAUGCAUUCUUCACCAAAAAUAAUGCCAAACAGUCGAGAGCACUAGUUGAUGUUUUAAGAGAGGCUAAUCA
Zeugodacus cucurbitae (melon fly) is the source of this 3889-nucleotide RNA transcript. It is a transcript of the gene named ATP-dependent RNA helicase p62, with no coding region annotated. The transcript has 5 exons. The record is from RefSeq and is a predicted model, not a curated record. Lineage: Eukaryota; Metazoa; Arthropoda; Insecta; Diptera; Tephritidae.